RNAcentral lists this ribosomal RNA (397 nucleotides) under uncultured bacterium. Its description in RNAcentral is "partial 16S ribosomal RNA". It matches the Rfam family "Bacterial small subunit ribosomal RNA", at positions 523 to 918 of the family's 1533-position model. The record is from RNAcentral.
AUACGUAGGGGGCGAGCGUUGUCCGGAAUGAUUGGGCGUAAAGGGCGCGUAGGCGGCCCGGUAAGUCUGGAGUGAAAGUCCUGCUUUUAAGGUGGGAAUUGCUUUGGAUACUGUCGGGCUUGAGUGCAGGAGAGGUAAGUGGAAUUCCCAGUGUAGCGGUGAAAUGCGUAGAGAUUGGGAGGAACACCAGUGGCGAAGGCGACUUACUGGACUGUAACUGACGCUGAGGCGCGAAAGUGUGGGGAGCAAACAGGAUUAGAUACCCUGGUAGUCCACACUGUAAACGAUGAAUGCUAGGUGUAGGGGGUAUCGACCCCUUCUGUGCCGCAGUUAACACAAUAAGCAUUCCGCCUGGGGAGUACGGCCGCAAGGUUGAAACUCAAAGGAAUUGACGGGG